RNAcentral lists this unclassified non-coding RNA (343 nucleotides) under soil metagenome. RNAcentral's name for it is "partial contains 5.8S ribosomal RNA, internal transcribed spacer 2, and large subunit ribosomal RNA". The stretch from base 1 to 120 matches the Rfam family "5.8S ribosomal RNA", at positions 35 to 154 of the family's 154-position model. The record is from RNAcentral.
GAUGAAGAACGUAGUGAAAUGCGAUAAGUAAUGUGAAUUGCAGAAUUCAGUGAAUCAUCGAAUCUUUGAACGCACAUUGCGCCCGCCAGUAUUCUGGCGGGCAUGCCUGUUCGAGCGUCAUUUCAACCCUCGACCUCCCCUUGGGGAGGUCGGCGUUGGGGACCGGCAGCACACCGCCGGCCCUGAAAUGGAGUGGCGGCCCGUCCGCGGCGACCUCUGCGCAGUAAUACAGCUCGCACCGGGACCCCGACGCGGCCACGCCGUAAAACACCCAACUUCUGAACGUUGACCUCGAAUCAGGUAGGACUACCCGCUGAACUUAAGCAUAUCAAUAAGCGGAGGA